RNAcentral lists this ribosomal RNA (435 nucleotides) under uncultured bacterium. RNAcentral describes it as "bacterial SSU rRNA". It matches the Rfam family "Bacterial small subunit ribosomal RNA", at positions 958 to 1392 of the family's 1533-position model. The record is from RNAcentral.
AACGCGAAGAACCUUACCAGGUCUUGACAUCCUCUGACAACUCUAGAGAUAGAGCGUUCCCCUUCGGGGGACAGAGUGACAGGUGGUGCAUGGUUGUCGUCAGCUCGUGUCGUGAGAUGUUGGGUUAAGUCCCGCAACGAGCGCAACCCUUGAUCUUAGUUGCCAGCAUUUAGUUGGGCACUCUAGGGUGACUGCCGGUGACAAACCGGAGGAAGGUGGGGAUGACGUCAAAUCAUCAUGCCCCUUAUGACCUGGGCUACACACGUGCUACAAUGGAUGGUACAAAGGGCUGCAAGACCGCGAGGUCAAGCCAAUCCCAUAAAACCAUUCUCAGUUCGGAUUGCAGGCUGCAACUCGCCUACAUGAAGCUGGAAUCGCUAGUAAUUGCGGAUCAGCAUGCCGCGGUGAAUACGUUCCCGGGCCUUGUACACACCG